This 252-nucleotide unclassified non-coding RNA is filed under the name uncultured fungus. RNAcentral's name for it is "partial contains 5.8S ribosomal RNA, internal transcribed spacer 2, and large subunit ribosomal RNA". The record is from RNAcentral. Lineage: Eukaryota; Fungi.
AACGCACAUUGCGCCCCUCGGUAUUCCGGGGGGCACACCUGUCCGAGCGCCGUUGCGCACCCUCAAGCUCAAGCUUGGUGUUGGGCUCCCCCGUGCCUCUCGCGCGCGGGGCUGCCCCCAAACCAUGGGCGCCGGACCCCGGACCUCAGCGUGGCGGUAUGCACAAGCGCUGUGGCCCGCGGGUUUGGCCGCCGAACAAGGCUCUCUCGAACGAUUGGCCUCGGAUCAGGUGGGGAUACCCGCUGAACUUAA